This 1466-nucleotide ribosomal RNA is filed under the name Escherichia coli. Its description in RNAcentral is "bacterial SSU rRNA". It matches the Rfam family "Bacterial small subunit ribosomal RNA". The record is from RNAcentral. Lineage: Bacteria; Pseudomonadati; Pseudomonadota; Gammaproteobacteria; Enterobacterales; Enterobacteriaceae.
UUAAAUUGAAGAGUUUGAUCAUGGCUCAGAUUGAACGCUGGCGGCAGGCCUAACACAUGCAAGUCGAACGGUAACAGGAAACAGCUUGCUGUUUCGCUGACGAGUGGCGGACGGGUGAGUAAUGUCUGGGAAACUGCCUGAUGGAGGGGGAUAACUACUGGAAACGGUAGCUAAUACCGCAUAACGUCGCAAGACCAAAGAGGGGGACCUUCGGGCCUCUUGCCAUCGGAUGUGCCCAGAUGGGAUUAGCUUGUUGGUGGGGUAACGGCUCACCAAGGCGACGAUCCCUAGCUGGUCUGAGAGGAUGACCAGCCACACUGGAACUGAGACACGGUCCAGACUCCUACGGGAGGCAGCAGUGGGGAAUAUUGCACAAUGGGCGCAAGCCUGAUGCAGCCAUGCCGCGUGUAUGAAGAAGGCCUUCGGGUUGUAAAGUACUUUCAGCGGGGAGGAAGGGAGUAAAGUUAAUACCUUUGCUCAUUGACGUUACCCGCAGAAGAAGCACCGGCUAACUCCGUGCCAGCAGCCGCGGUAAUACGGAGGGUGCAAGCGUUAAUCGGAAUUACUGGGCGUAAAGCGCACGCAGGCGGUUUGUUAAGUCAGAUGUGAAAUCCCCGGGCUCAACCUGGGAACUGCAUCUGAUACUGGCAAGCUUGAGUCUCGUAGAGGGGGGUAGAAUUCCAGGUGUAGCGGUGAAAUGCGUAGAGAUCUGGAGGAAUACCGGUGGCGAAGGCGGCCCCCUGGACGAAGACUGACGCUCAGGUGCGAAAGCGUGGGGAGCAAACAGGAUUAGAUACCCUGGUAGUCCACGCCGUAAACGAUGUCGACUUGGAGGUUGUGCCCUUGAGGCGUGGCUUCCGGAGCUAACGCGUUAAGUCGACCGCCUGGGGAGUACGGCCGCAAGGUUAAAACUCAAAUGAAUUGACGGGGGCCCGCACAAGCGGUGGAGCAUGUGGUUUAAUUCGAUGCAACGCGAAGAACCUUACCUGGUCUUGACAUCCACGGAAGUUUUCAGAGAUGAGAAUGUGCCUUCGGGAACCGUGAGACAGGUGCUGCAUGGCUGUCGUCAGCUCGUGUUGUGAAAUGUUGGGUUAAGUCCCGCAACGAGCGCAACCCUUAUCCUUUGUUGCCAGCGGUCCGGCCGGGAACUCAAAGGAGACUGCCAGUGAUAAACUGGAGGAAGGUGGGGAUGACGUCAAGUCAUCAUGGCCCUUACGACCAGGGCUACACACGUGCUACAAUGGCGCAUACAAAGAGAAGCGACCUCGCGAGAGCAAGCGGACCUCAUAAAGUGCGUCGUAGUCCGGAUUGGAGUCUGCAACUCGACUCCAUGAAGUCGGAAUCGCUAGUAAUCGUGGAUCAGAAUGCCACGGUGAAUACGUUCCCGGGCCUUGUACACACCGCCCGUCACACCAUGGGAGUGGGUUGCAAAAGAAGUAGGUAGCUUAACCUUCGGGAGGGCGCUU